UACGAGGGGUCCUAGCGUUGUUCGGAAUCACUGGGCGUAAAGCGCAUGUAGGCGGCUUUGUAAGUCAGGUGUGAAAUCCCUGGGCUCAACCCAGGAAGUGCACUUGAUACUGCAGAGCUUGAAUAUGAAAGAGGGUAGCGGAAUUCCUGGUGUAGUGGUGAAAUACGUAGAUAUCAGGAGGAACUCCGGUGGCGAAGGCGGCUACCUGGUUCAAUAUUGACGCUGAGAUGCGAAAGCGUGGGGAUCAAACAGG
RNAcentral lists this ribosomal RNA (253 nucleotides) under uncultured bacterium. RNAcentral describes it as "partial 16S ribosomal RNA". It matches the Rfam family "Bacterial small subunit ribosomal RNA", at positions 524 to 776 of the family's 1533-position model. The record is from RNAcentral.